CCUUGAGCUCCAGGUGACGGUGAUCAUGUUGUGAUUGUGAGCACCUGCUUCAUCCAGAGACGUGAGGAGAGAAGAAAAGAAGACACUGCUUCUCAGGGUUCUUCUAGGUUCCUCAUAAGUUCCUCUUGUGUUCCUCCACCUCAGCAUGUCCAUCAGCAGACCCUCGUAUCUUCUGUACAGUGAUGACAAAGGAAACUUUAUUCCUCUGGGCCGACAGUUACUCGGGUACAGACCUCCUCCGUCUCAGGACUGUGUCAGGCACCUGGAUAUUGAAAGUGAAUCCCCACACCGACCUGCGCAGAUUCACGAUGAAGAAAACCAAACUACAAGCAUGAACAUGACAUUUGACUUCAAGACUCCUCCUUUCAACAAUAGUGACGGCACAACAUUAUAAACUUUCUAUAUUUUUGAACGGAACAUAAAGACACGUCCAGUGAUCCAGAGUCCAUGUUAAAGGGGAUGAAGGGUAAUGAGCUGACGCCGGCCGGCCUGGAGUUUCUGCACAGGCUGAAGAAGGACAAGGAGCUGAAGCGCCUGCAGGAGAUAAUUCAAUAAUUCCCUGAAGACCAAACAAGAGGUUGCGAAAGUAAAAGAAAAGACUGCAUCUGCACCGCGCCGAGGCAAACCAAAACCAAAAACUCAAGAUUCCACAAACCCAAGCAAACUCCCGAGCAGAGCGAACCGCAAGAAGAUCAAGCCCGCCGCCGCAGCACAGAAGAUUAAACCCGAUGCACCGACGCGUGAAGGUUCCGGCCCGGCUCCACCCGAUCAGGCGCUUCCACUUCCAGAGAGCAGGGUGAAGAGGAGAGCGGUCGCGGUUGAUCCAGGGGACAAUCGCCAGAAGAGGGACAAGCAACCAGGGCUC
This is a long non-coding RNA of Boleophthalmus pectinirostris (great blue-spotted mudskipper), 865 nucleotides long. RefSeq lists it as uncharacterized. The transcript has 4 exons. The record is from RefSeq and is a predicted model, not a curated record. NCBI's taxonomy places the organism in Eukaryota, Metazoa, Chordata, Actinopteri, Gobiiformes, Gobiidae.